Molecule: ribosomal RNA, 331 nt
Filed under: uncultured bacterium
Lineage: Bacteria
Description: bacterial SSU rRNA
Rfam family: Bacterial small subunit ribosomal RNA
Source: RNAcentral
CGUGUAGGCGGGAAGGUAAGUCAGAUGUGAAAUUCCAGGGCUCAACUCUGGCGCUGCAUCUGAAACUAUCUUUCUUGAGUGAUGGAGAGGAAAGUGGAAUUCCUAGUGUAGCGGUGAAAUGCGUAGAUAUUAGGAGGAACACCAGUGGCGAAGGCGACUUUCUGGACAUUAACUGACGCUGAGGCGCGAAAGCGUGGGGAGCAAACAGGAUUAGAUACCCUGGUAGUCCACGCUGUAAACGAUGGAUACUAGGUGUAGGGGGUAUCGACCCCCCCUGUGCCGGAGUUAACACAACAAGUAUCCCACCUGGGGAGUACGGCCGCAAGGUUGA